This 500-nucleotide non-coding RNA is filed under the name uncultured Glomus. RNAcentral's name for it is "SSU rRNA". It matches the Rfam family "Eukaryotic small subunit ribosomal RNA", at positions 591 to 1092 of the family's 1831-position model. Lineage: Eukaryota; Fungi; Glomeromycota; Glomeromycetes; Glomerales; Glomeraceae. RNAcentral also lists the same sequence under 1 other name. The record is from RNAcentral.
CCAAUAGCGUAUAUUAAAGUUGUUGCAGUUAAAAAGCUCGUAGUUGAAUUUCGGGAUCAGUAGGUCGGUCGUGCCACUGGUAUGAACUGGUCUCACUGGUUCCUCCCUCUUGACGAACUGCAAUGCUAUUAAUUUAGUGUUGUAGGAAAUCAGGACUGUUACUUUGAAAAAAUUAGAGUGUUUAAAGCAGGCUUUAGCUUGAAUACAUUAGCAUGGAAUAAUGAAAUAGGACGUUCGAUCCUAUUUUGUUGGCUUCUAGGAUUGACGUAAUGAUUAAUAGGGACAGUUGGGGGCAUUAGUAUUCAAUUGUCAGAGGUGAAAUUCUUGGAUUUAUUGAAGACUAACUACUGCGAAAGCAUUUGCCAAGGAUGUUUUCAUUAAUCAAGAACGAAAGUUAGGGGAUCGAAGACGAUCAGAUACCGUCGUAGUCUUAACCAUAAACUAUGCCGACUAGGGAUCGGAUGAUGUUAAUUUUUUAAUGACUCAUUCGGCGCCUUACG